GACGGAGGAUGCAAGCGUUAUCCGGAAUGAUUGGGCGUAAAGCGUCCGCAGGUGGCAGUUCAAGUCUGCUGUCAAAGACCGGGGCUUAACUUCGGAAAGGCAGUGGAAACUGAACAGCUAGAGUAUGGUAGGGGCAGAGGGAAUUCCGGGUGUAGCGGUGGAAUGCGUAGAGAUCCGGAAGAACACCGGUGGCGAAGGCGGCCUGCUGGGCAGUAGCUGACGCUGAGGCGCGACAGCGUGGGGAGCAAACAGG
Molecule: ribosomal RNA, 253 nt
Filed under: uncultured bacterium
Lineage: Bacteria
Description: partial 16S ribosomal RNA
Rfam family: Bacterial small subunit ribosomal RNA
Source: RNAcentral